Molecule: small nucleolar RNA, 153 nt
Organism: Meriones unguiculatus (Mongolian gerbil)
Lineage: Eukaryota; Metazoa; Chordata; Mammalia; Rodentia; Muridae
Source: Ensembl
AUCCUCACCUAUUCUUGGUGGGGCCCAGGCCUAUGGUCCCACUCCUCAUUAUGUACAGGAUUAGAAGAAAAGGGCUCUGAACCUCUUGGCAUCAUGUCUUUGGUGCCUGUGGCCUCCCGUCCACCAGUUAUAACCUCAGACAGUAGGACACUA